CUCAAACUACACACAGCCAUUACACACAGCUAGCAGGCAUUACUCACACUACACACAGCUAGCCAUAGAGUAAUGCCUACUGGCUGUGUGUAAUGGCUGUGUGUAAUGUGUAG
This is a non-coding RNA of Pelobates cultripes (western spadefoot toad), 113 nucleotides long. Lineage: Eukaryota; Metazoa; Chordata; Amphibia; Anura; Pelobatidae. The record is from the annotation of a GenBank genome assembly.